RNAcentral lists this long non-coding RNA (1024 nucleotides) under Mus pahari (shrew mouse). Its description in RNAcentral is "lncRNA (MGP_PahariEiJ_G0003201.1)". Lineage: Eukaryota; Metazoa; Chordata; Mammalia; Rodentia; Muridae. The record is from RNAcentral.
UUGCCACAUAAGGCACAGGACACCAAACACGACACACCAGGCACAACACACCAGCCAAAGCACACUCGGCACCACGCGGCAGGCACAACGCAGCUGGCACAGCGCAGCAGACACAGCCAGCCAGGUCCACGCACCAUCUACACAUGCUUUAAGGUAGUAGCAAUCUGCUCUGCUUGGGAAAAGCCUUUCUGAAGGUUAUAAUCCCAUCUUCUCUGCCUGCAAGCUCGAGCCUUUGUUAAUUGAGGAUCUACUGCAUGCAAAGGUCUGGAGUGCAAGAAGGAGCCGGAUCAGCUCCGGAUGGAACAGAUACCAAUACUUAAAAAAAAAAAACAAAACAAACAAACAAACAAAAAAAAAACCCUUCAAAGCAUAGAAGCGGACCCAAUCCUGGAUCUUCUAAGAUGGCAUAUCUGAAAGAGACGGUUGAGUGAAAGACCCAGAGACUGAGGACUGGGGAUUGAACCUGGGUCUCAAGAUGUGCUGGGCAAACACAAUAACGGCUGAGCCCCUCACUGGGGAAUUGGAGACCAGCUGGCUAUACUACUGAGUGGUGACCUCAGAUCCGACCUCCAGGCACAUAGGCCCCGCAGAAGGUCCCUCAGCAGGCAGCAGGGACCCCAACCUAUGCUUCCUUCUUCUCCAGCUUGGCAAAACCCAACCCUGUUGGCUUCGGUGACCUUUCCUGGAUCGCUGGCGGAGCGAGGACAAGCAAGGCUACUGUGUGAAGCCUACUGAAGACCUUGAGGGAACCACAGUAAACAUUGCAACCGUGUUUGAUGAAGAACUUGGCUUUGGGUCCUGCCAGCAGGAAGAGCUCAAACUGGCUUGGCAAGGGCAGGCAGGCCUGAGGCACAGCUUGGCUGCAGGGCCUGGGAAGGAACUCUGAGACGACUGUGCACUCGAGAGGAACUUGGAGCCUUCUCUCCCAAAGCAGCUACCCACCUUCUUUGUAUCUCUAAGCUCCUAGGAGCUUGGCUGGAGGUAGUAACAUAUUAAUGAUAAGAACGCAAAUUAAUUAAUCCUC